RNAcentral lists this ribosomal RNA (963 nucleotides) under Salmonella enterica. Its description in RNAcentral is "partial 23S ribosomal RNA". It matches the Rfam family "Bacterial large subunit ribosomal RNA", at positions 588 to 1554 of the family's 2925-position model. Lineage: Bacteria; Pseudomonadati; Pseudomonadota; Gammaproteobacteria; Enterobacterales; Enterobacteriaceae. The record is from RNAcentral. RNAcentral also lists the same sequence under 1 other name.
GUGGGGUGACUGCGUACCUUUUGUAUAAUGGGUCAGCGACUUAUAUUCUGUAGCAAGGUUAACCGUAUAGGGGAGCCGAAGGGAAACCGAGUCUUAACUGGGCGUUAAGUUGCAGGGUAUAGACCCGAAACCCGGUGAUCUAGCCAUGGGCAGGUUGAAGGUUGGGUAACACUAACUGGAGGACCGAACCGACUAAUGUUGAAAAAUUAGCGGAUGACUUGUGGCUGGGGGUGAAAGGCCAAUCAAACCGGGAGAUAGCUGGUUCUCCCCGAAAGCUAUUUAGGUAGCGCCUCGUGAACUCAUCUUCGGGGGUAGAGCACUGUUUCGGCUAGGGGGUCAUCCCGACUUACCAACCCGAUGCAAACUGCGAAUACCGAAGAAUGUUAUCACGGGAGACACACGGCGGGUGCUAACGUCCGUCGUGAAGAGGGAAACAACCCAGACCGCCAGCUAAGGUCCCAAAGUCACAGUUAAGUGGGAAACGAUGUGGGAAGGCUCAGACAGCCAGGAUGUUGGCUUAGAAGCAGCCAUCAUUUAAAGAAAGCGUAAUAGCUCACUGGUCGAGUCGGCCUGCGCGGAAGAUGUAACGGGGCUAAACUGUGCACCGAAGCUGCGGCAGCGACGCUUAUGCGUUGUUGGGUAGGGGAGCGUUCUGUAAGCCUGCGAAGGUGUCCUGUGAGGGAUGCUGGAGGUAUCAGAAGUGCGAAUGCUGACAUAAGUAACGAUAAUGCGGGUGAAAAGCCCGCUCGCCGGAAGACCAAGGGUUCCUGUCCAACGUUAAUCGGGGCAGGGUGAGUCGACCCCUAAGGCGAGGCCGAAAGGCGUAGUCGAUGGGAAACGGGUUAAUAUUCCCGUACUUGGUGUUACUGCGAAGGGGGGACGGAGAAGGCUAUGUUGGCCGGGCGACGGUUGUCCCGGUUUAAGCGUGUAGGCUGGUUUUCCAGGCAAAUCCGGAAAAUCAAG